This is a long non-coding RNA of Camelus dromedarius (Arabian camel), 3009 nucleotides long. RefSeq lists it as uncharacterized. The record is from RefSeq and is a predicted model, not a curated record. NCBI's taxonomy places the organism in Eukaryota, Metazoa, Chordata, Mammalia, Artiodactyla, Camelidae. The transcript has 5 exons.
ACGACCUAAGUGUUUACUGAGGAAUGGAUAAACAAAAGGUGGGGUGGAGGCUGAGGAUGGGGGUGGAGUCAGAAGUCAGUGCUUAAUGGACACAAGAUUUUUUUUUUUUGCUUUUGGGUGAUGAAAACAUUCCAGAAUGAGAUCAUAGUGAUGGCUGCACAACACUGUUAAUGUACUGAAGGUCAUGAAUGGGCAAUCUGAUGCUACAUGUAAUUUAUGACAAUAAAUAAAAGCUUAGUAGGUGGUAAACCCAUCUGGCAAUGGAUGUUAAAGCAUUUCAGCUUUGGAGAUUAAAUGCUGCAGAGACUGUAGAAGAGACAACAUGAAUCUUUAAUAAUUUAGCAAUAGGCACAUUGAUCUUGAUCAGAGGGUUAUAGUCAUGAAGCACUAAUUUAAUGAAUUACAACUGGCUAGAUGCUAUACGCAUCAAGGAAUACAAUAUGGUAGGGUUUUUUCCUAAAAAGAUCCUCUUGUUUUGGGGACAACAGAGUUUCAUUCAAAAGCCAAUUCUUCAGUAUGAUUUAACUCAAAUAGUACAGCUCUUUAUCUGUAAAUAGCACGUCCAGCUGAAGGAACACCCUGGGGCAUGAUUAACCCUUUUUCAGUGUCGGAACCUGGAGCUCAGAGUGGUUAAAUGACUCGCCCACGAUGACACAGCUUGCAUCAUACAGAGCUGAACUUCGGUGUUCAGAUUCCAAACCAACUGCUCUUCCACUUUAAGACCUACUUCCCAUCACUGUAACCUUGCUUAUAAAAGAGCAGGGCCUAUCACAAGCCCAGUUAUGAGGAGGGUAACACUUACACAUGCAGCCCCAUCAGUAACCACAGGACGCUGAUAUAUUUAUCUGGAACAGUGUUUAACAUGUUAGUACAAGUGUUUUAUGUAGUUUAAUUUCCUUCUCCCAAUGUUUAACAUUGCAGUUCUUCAGAAAGAAGGGACAGAUGGCGCGCCUUCCUUGAGAGGUACUUUGUCAGUACACAUAUUGUACAUCUUUUAUCCAUGAGAAAAGAGUGCAAAUCCCUUCCAGGCAGGGCCCCCGACACUCUCCUUCCUCUCCUUGGUGGGAACUGUUACACUGUCCUCAGACACUGGGAGCUCUGCCCCUGCAGCUCCUGUAACUGAUGCGCUCUCCCUCACAUGCACGUUCUGCUUCUUUGCUCGUUCUGGUCAUCACUCUCCUCUUUCCCGUCUCUCCGUCCUAAUGCUUGGCGCUAACACGAUUCUCAACAUAUAUACUGAAUUCCCAGAAAUGAAGCCUACAUACUGUCCUGAUUCUCAAAGCAACUGUGCCUUCCUCCCCUUGAAACCAGGAAUGUGCCAGGGUCCCUCCGAUCUAGACAGGAAAAGCUCUGAGGACUGUAUCUGCUGCCCAAAUCUUACAAUGACAGGGCAACCGGUUCUUCUCUGGGUCAUAUCUGAUUUUCCUGAAAUAUUUCUGCAUCUUUUCUCCCAGCCCCUGAUUUGAUUUUGCUGAAUCUUUCCAUACACUUUUCAAAAUAACCAAGUAUACUUUAAGGAUUAGCAACAUACAUUGACUUGAAACAAGCUAAGAGUUAAUUCACUGACUCCGCUUUAGGUACAUCGAUCUGGCCAAGGAGAAGGAGCAGCCAAAAAGCAUUCCCCUCAAAAUCUUUACCGAGGACAUCAAUAACUGUGCCUGUGGCUCUGAGAAAGACUACCAGCUGUGGGUGACUGCUGGCAAGAAAAAGGCCUCAUACCCACUCACUGGCCAUGAACAUCCACACAGCAUUAAAAUCAGCCAUCUUCCAGCUACUGCGCUCCUGCCACAGGGACCAGAGGACUCUGCCUCUCCUUCUGCCCUCCUGGAGGCCAUCCUCUUGGAGAAGAGGUCCCCAGAGAUUCAAGGCCAAUUCGUCCUGAAGCCCAGGCACCCAGCCAGGAGCCAGCAGCGGAGAGGGGAGCCCCUUCCCUUCCUCAGGUGUCUUCUCUUGGCUCACGUCUCUGCUCCUGACACCAAACUCAUGCACAGAGCUGCUUCUCCGUGUGGGGGUGCAGGGACAGUACAGGUCACGAGACAGCCAACAGAAGUUCUGUGAGGAACUGGGCCUUUUGGCGGCACCCCAGUACUCAACAGGACAACCAGCGCCGAACUCUGCCAUCGGCAAAUCUAACACAGCUCUUUGGAGCUCCUCUGGGGGACAUGUGUGAGGAGGACAAGCUGCCUGCCCCAGUUCUGGAGAUGCUUUCCAUUCUGAAUCAAAAAGGGCCACUCACAAAAUGCAUCUUCAACAAAUCUGCGAGUAAAAUAUCAUGCAGAGUCCUGAAGGAAAAGCUGAACUCUGGGGACACAGUGAACAUGGAGAAUGAGUCCACUGUGGUGCUGGCAUCCGUCUUAAAGGUAGGGAAACGUCUAGCAUUAUCCGCACACAAAGGAACUCUGAAACUCUAUGGGGGUCCUUCAUCAUGACUGCCCAAGAGGAACAGGUGUCAUAGAUGAAGGAUCUGAAAAACUGGAAAACACUGCACAAAGUCAAAAUUUAAGUAAGCUACUUCGGGUGUUACAAGUCCCAUGUUAGGUAUACUUUCCUUUUUCAUCACAACCCUCUCCCCAUCUUCACUCCUGAACAAUCCAUGCAAAUACAAAUAUAAAUAAUAAAUGAAAAAGCACACACCUGUACAGAAUGUACCAAAGCAAGCUUUCUGCCUUUGAGGACUUCCUUACCACCUUCCUAAUGAAGCCAAAGUCUCCAAAAAAAAAUUCACAUUAAGCUUUUGAAAAUAUUUAUACAAGUUAUCAAGUAAGUAAAUAUCUACUUUACAAUGAAUCAAAACAUGCUCAGUAAGGCCAUCGAAAUCUGUGAUCAUUUCAUCGUCCUCCCUUCCCUGUCUCCUAAUGCAUUUACUUGAAAGCUAGUGUAGGGAGGCUGGUACCUUGUGUGCCUCCUUUCCCCUCCUCUACCACCUUUGGCUUCCCUUGUUCAUGUUUGUUAUGCUUAACGCACCACCCGUGGUUACAGUUCCAUGGUAAGCAGCUCCUGCCACAUGCC